RNAcentral lists this unclassified non-coding RNA (375 nucleotides) under soil metagenome. Its description in RNAcentral is "partial contains 5.8S ribosomal RNA, internal transcribed spacer 2, and large subunit ribosomal RNA". The stretch from base 1 to 120 matches the Rfam family "5.8S ribosomal RNA", at positions 35 to 154 of the family's 154-position model. The record is from RNAcentral.
GAUGAAGAACGUAGCGAAAUGCGAUAAGUAAUGUGAAUUGCAGAAUUCAGUGAACCAUCGAAUCUUUGAACGCACAUUGCGCCCGGCAGUAAUCUGCCGGGCAUGCCUGUCCGAGCGUCAUUUCUCCCCUCGAGCGCAGCUUUCCCCCCCGGGGGAGGGCCGCGCCCGGUGUUGGGGCGCUACGGAGGAGCCCAGCGCUCCCCCGUAGGCCCCGAAAUGUAGUGGCGGUCCCGCCGCGGCGCCCCCUACGUAGUAGUUUUACAACUCGCAUCGGGUCCCGGCGGAGGCCAGCCGUCAAACCCCCCAACUUCAAUAGUUUGACCUCGGAUCAGGUAGGGUUACCCGCUGAACUUAAGCAUAUCAAUAAGCGGAGGA